RNAcentral lists this ribosomal RNA (306 nucleotides) under Klebsiella pneumoniae. RNAcentral's name for it is "bacterial LSU rRNA". It matches the Rfam family "Bacterial large subunit ribosomal RNA", at positions 2517 to 2822 of the family's 2925-position model. Lineage: Bacteria; Pseudomonadati; Pseudomonadota; Gammaproteobacteria; Enterobacterales; Enterobacteriaceae. The record is from RNAcentral.
UUUGGCACCUCGAUGUCGGCUCAUCACAUCCUGGGGCUGAAGUAGGUCCCAAGGGUAUGGCUGUUCGCCAUUUAAAGUGGUACGCGAGCUGGGUUUAGAACGUCGUGAGACAGUUCGGUCCCUAUCUGCCGUGGGCGCUGGAGAAUUGAGGGGGGCUGCUCCUAGUACGAGAGGACCGGAGUGGACGCAUCACUGGUGUUCGGGUUGUCAUGCCAAUGGCACUGCCCGGUAGCUAAAUGCGGAAGAGAUAAGUGCUGAAAGCAUCUAAGCACGAAACUUGCCCCGAGAUGAGUUCUCCCUGAGACU